GGGGGUUUAGCUCAGUUGGGAGAGCACCUGCCUUGCACGCAGGGGGUCAAGGGUUCAACUCCCUUAAUCUCCACCA
RNAcentral lists this transfer RNA (76 nucleotides) under Clostridium gelidum. RNAcentral's name for it is "tRNA-Ala". It matches the Rfam family "tRNA". Rfam says of the family: Transfer RNA (tRNA) molecules are approximately 80 nucleotides in length. Their secondary structure includes four short double-helical elements and three loops (D, anti-codon, and T loops). Lineage: Bacteria; Bacillati; Bacillota; Clostridia; Eubacteriales; Clostridiaceae. The record is from RNAcentral.